Molecule: ribosomal RNA, 576 nt
Filed under: Mycobacterium shimoidei
Lineage: Bacteria; Bacillati; Actinomycetota; Actinomycetes; Mycobacteriales; Mycobacteriaceae
Description: bacterial SSU rRNA
Rfam family: Bacterial small subunit ribosomal RNA
Source: RNAcentral
ACACAUGCAAGUCGAACGGAAAGGCCCCUUUCGCGGGGUACUCGAGUGGCGAACGGGUGAGUAACACGUGGGUGAUCUGCCCUGCACUUCGGGAUAAGCUUGGGAAACUGGGUCUAAUACCGGAUAGGACCACAUGUCGCAUGGUGUGUGGUGGAAAGCUUUUGCGGUGUGGGAUGGGCCCGCGGCCUAUCAGCUUGUUGGUGGGGUGAUGGCCUACCAAGGCGACGACGGGUAGCCGGCCUGAGAGGGUGUCCGGCCACACUGGGACUGAGAUACGGCCCAGACUCCUACGGGAGGCAGCAGUGGGGAAUAUUGCACAAUGGGCGCAAGCCUGAUGCAGCGACGCCGCGUGGGGGAUGACGGCCUUCGGGUUGUAAACCUCUUUCACCAUCGACGAAGCUGCGGGUUUUCUCGUGGUGACGGUAGGUGGAGAAGAAGCACCGGCCAACUACGUGCCAGCAGCCGCGGUAAUACGUAGGGUGCGAGCGUUGUCCGGAAUUACUGGGCGUAAAGAGCUCGUAGGUGGUUUGUCGCGUUGUUCGUGGAAUGCCACAGCUUAACUGGUGGGCGGUGCCG